AUGGCAAAUGAGAUCAUCCUGCGCCUCGACAUCGCCCAGGAGAGCAGGCAAUUGUCGCACGGUGAGCUCCAACUACGGAAGAAGGUCAAGCUAUGCAUCCCCGGCCUCGCUGCAAUCGACAGAGCUCGGAAGCGGCAGGCGCCGCACGUCACCUGGCUCCGCGCGGGCGAUGCCAAGACGGCGUUUUUUCAGGCAAAGAUCAAUUCCAGGCGCCAGAAGAACUUCAUCCAUGCCCUCCAUGCCCGUGACUCCAUCGCCACCUCCCACAGCGACAAGGAGCGGAUCAUACAUGAGCACUUCAACUCCAUGCUGGGGACGAUGUCGCCUCGUAGCCGCACCAUUGAUUGGGACGCCAUCAACUUGUCGACCCUGCUCGCGGCCGGCCUCGACAACCCCUUCACCGAGGAGGAGGUUUGGGUGUCGAUAUGCAAAUCUCCACAGGAGAAAUUCCCAGGGCCGGACGACUUAAACGACAUUUUCUUCCCAUCGUGCUGGCCCAUCAUCAAGACGAACAUCAUGGCGGCCUUUCACCAGUUCUACAACCUCGCGGAGGGAGACAUGUCAAUGAUCAACAAUGCGACAAUCAUCCUCUUACCAAAGAAGGAUGGGGCGACAGAGAUCACAGAUUACAGGCCCAUCAGCUUGAUCCACUCGAUCGCGAAGCUCAUCUCCAAGGUUCACUCCAUUAGAUUAGCAUCCGUCAUCGGCUCCAUCAUCUCGCCGGUGCAAACGGCAUUCCUGAAGACAAAAUGCAUCGACGACAGCUUCCUCUUCGUGCAAAACUCCGUCCCUGCCCGACACCGUGUCUCCUCAUGA
This 816-nucleotide ribosomal RNA is filed under the name Triticum aestivum (bread wheat). RNAcentral's name for it is "partial small subunit ribosomal RNA". The record is from RNAcentral. Lineage: Eukaryota; Viridiplantae; Streptophyta; Magnoliopsida; Poales; Poaceae.